UGCUGAAACUGAAGUGUUUAAUUCUCUUUUGACAACUUUUUUAAGAAGGCUGGGUCUCUGAGGGAGAGGUGAAGAUGAGAGUGGUUAAAUACAAGUUACUGUAGGAGGGAGGACAAUACCUUUUGGAGGUUCAGGAAGGACUCCCUGCUGAAGAUGGUAUCUAAGCUUCGUUUUAAAGGAAGAGGGUGAUUCUGUGAGGCAGAGGUCAUCCUAGCUAUGGAGAUGCCCAACAUCAGUAGGCUGAUUAUUGGGUGAUGAAUUCUUUGACCGUGACAGCCCAC
Non-coding RNA from Phascolarctos cinereus (koala), 281 nucleotides. The record is from RefSeq and is a predicted model, not a curated record. Lineage: Eukaryota; Metazoa; Chordata; Mammalia; Diprotodontia; Phascolarctidae.